UGUCGAUCUCAGAAUGAACGUCGAAAGAUCUUGAUAUCAAAACAUGCUAUUGCUACUUUUGUGCUUCCCAUCCGGUUUAAAAAACAACUCAGUGCCCAGGCGAGAUAUCGAUCAACAUCCACCAAACGUUUGGCACACCUAACCCUAUUUCCUUCUUCUCACGAUCAAGAUGCGGAGGAUGGAGUAUUCAGCGAUCCAGUUUCGCUUAGCAACAGAUGUGAGCUGUAAAUGAGCCAUGGCUCGAGCCACCACAAAAUCGAUAGAGAAAACAGAAAACCCUACGGGUGUGUAAUCAUAACGUCGUCAUCAUCCUGCGGCUUCUCAUUUGGUUUCAAGGAAAAUGAAAAUAAAAUUAAUUUGCUUCUUUUUACCGCUAGAGUGAAUAACAUGUGAAUAGCAGCUGUAGGCUAAUCUGUUUAAUGUUCGAUGAUGAAAUUUUUGUGUGCCAUGCUCCGUCCCAUGUGUGAAUUACUUUCCGACGUUUUAUUUUGGUUGGACCGACAUUGAACGAGUCAAAAAGACCUUAUGUGUACAACGAUGAAGACGUCACUAAACUGGCAACAGCUCCUAUAAAUACAUCAAAGAUAUGCACUCUUCAUCGUUAGAGAGCCGCAGAGAAUCAGCCUUUAACUAUUUAUAAACUAGAAUAUAAGAACAUUCUAGUUCCUCUUUCCCUCCUGGUCUUGCAUUAAUGUGGAAAAAUUCCUCCUCAGAAAGAAAACAACAAACCAGAAUGAACACAAUAUCGAGUCAUUGAUCUUAAUUUAGCUCCAGGCCACAGAAAAACAAAAGGAGAAAAUAAUAUUCAAAUGUGUACAUGUUUCUCCUCUUCAUUGUUGACGUGGUUGUUUUUGUUUGUUGUUGUAUUGGCGUCCAGGAAAAUACAAGACACAAAA
Molecule: long non-coding RNA, 896 nt
Organism: Daphnia carinata
Lineage: Eukaryota; Metazoa; Arthropoda; Branchiopoda; Diplostraca; Daphniidae
Exons: 2
Source: RefSeq, a predicted model, not a curated record